ACCCAGUCUAGUCUCACUCUGACCUGCAGAAAACUUUUUAUAACCUUUUAACAGACUGCCUGCCAGAAAGAUAGCUUUUAAUGUGAACCUGAAACCCACGCCAUGGAAAUUCAGCUGCGAGUAUAGAAGCCACAAACUCUCAGGGUCUCAGCUUCUCACCUCUGGGCUACAUUAAUUAAGUUGUCACGCUGACAUUUGAAUAGAGGAGCCAAUGCUGAACCCCUUUACGUCUGCGCUGUAUACUGACGUGCCUGGGGCUGCUGAAAGGAGAGCAGCCACAAAGAAGCUUGAAAAACAAGGUUCUUGCGGACUCAAACGCCGGGCGUUUGGCUUGUCAUUGUGGUUUCUCAUAAAUGGGUAGAAGGCCCCAAGCUGCAUCCAUCGCACACACAACUCCUCAGUGGUGUUGCCUCCAAAGCCACAGAUGUCCGCCCCCACAAGGGGCACGCCGAACAGGCUGAACUGCAGCACCGCUGUGGGGGAAAGAGAGGGGUGCAAAAGGGAUGGAGUAUCGCAUCUGCUCCCAGUCACUCCUGACGUCCCCUGUCCACACUCCAGAGAAGCGUCCGAUGCCAGGGUAGGAGGAGCGAGACAGGACGAAGGGUCUCUUCCCUCGUACCUUCCUAAGAGCACUGAGGAUGGCAGUGAAUCCCGGGAUUUAAAACAGCAUACAAGACAAAGAACAAAAGAACAACUUAGCAGCAUUCUGUGGUGUCACAUUGAGCUCCAGCAAAGUGAAAUUGGUAGGUUCUCAAAGAAAGUCUAUCAUUUUACACACAGUCAACCAUGCAAGAGCAAUUUUAAUUCCCAUGAGCUGUACCACUACUUAAUACCACUACAUACACUAUGUUUUGCUCAUGUGACACAUUGUUGAUCCACUUUUAAGCUAAGCUAAGCUUUUAAGCUUAAGCUAUAUGACUAUGUGGUAAAAAAUGUAUUACUUCUUUGUCAACUGAUGUCAAAAGAUUUGACUUUGUUUUUGUUACAAUGGUGUAUUACAUAAAAUGGCUUUUGCAAACUGCG
This is a long non-coding RNA of Morone saxatilis (striped sea-bass), 1023 nucleotides long. RefSeq lists it as uncharacterized. Lineage: Eukaryota; Metazoa; Chordata; Actinopteri; Moronidae. The transcript has 3 exons. The record is from RefSeq and is a predicted model, not a curated record.